AAACUGGUGCUGCAGCCACUGGUGUCAUCCACUGCUAAGCCCCUAAAAUGUCGGAUGACAUGCACAUGGGCAGGAACGAUUUCAUGGGAACAGAUGGGCGUCCAGUUGGUGUCGGCAACUUCUUGAAAAGUGUGAGCAUAAAUAAUCAGGAUCGUCUGGGCCACAGAAGACCCAGCCAUGAAACCUUUGAUUACAGGCAUGGGUUUGCCAGGGGCCCACCUUUCCCAGGAAUGGGUAUUAUUAUUCAAGGGCAGCCAGCUCCUCAGUUUGCUGGAGCACCAGUUUUAUGUAGGCCAUCUAUUCCUGAUGUGUCCCAUGCGCCUCCUAUACAGCGUUUGCCACCACCUGGCCCUAUAUUACAUCCUCCCCCUCCUAUUACACAUUCCCCUAUUCUACCUCCACCUCAUUCACACUUACCCAUGCCUCAUCAGGGUCCUCAUCCUCAUCUAUCCAAUUUGACCAUGCCACCAAGUAACCCAUAUUCAGUUCCACCUCCUACCGAGGUUAAAGCUCGUCCUCCUCUUUGUCAUGGUAUGCAAAAGGUAGAAUCCGCUAUGCAUCCUCCAUUACCCAGAGGUCCAAGACCAACACAGUCUAGACUCUGUGCACCACCACCACUCCCUGGCACACAAACAUCACGACCACCACCUCUUCCUCCCAAUAAUUUUACGGUACAACCCCCACUUCCUCCUCUACCUCCUCUGCCACCUUCACCAAAGGUUGAACCUUCAAAACCUCCUCCGCCAAAUGACCCACCUCCAUCUAGCCCUGUCAAGAAAUCCUCUUUGCCCUCUGCACCUCCAAAAUUUUCGAAAAGUGUAUCGGUUACCAAGUCAUCAAAUUCAACACAAUCAGGAGCUCCAAGCACCUCAAAACAUUCUGGAACCAAAAGAUUAUUUUCUGAUACUCAAGAUAUUGAACAAGCUAAACCCAUCCCAAGUAUUGUUUCAUCUCGUCCCUCCGUGAAGCCUGCUGCCGUCCCCUCUGCUAAUAACAGUAAUAAUAGGAUUCCUUGUGUUUCAGGGGCACCUAUUGUUGUCUCAUAUAGCAGUGUUCAAGCUUCCACACCUCCCCCACCUCCACUUCCUCCCUCAGAUACUGUUCAUCUACCUAUUUCUUCCCGUGUGUGUCAAGCAGCAGUCGAGGAGGAACCAUAUGAUCCCGAAGAUGCUACAUUUUCUCCAGCCUCAAGUCUUGGUUCUCCAUCAAGAGAAGAAAGUCCAGAAGACUCUCUUAUCAAUAAAUAUGUGAGGCAGCCAAAUAAGUUAAACUCUUCUGAUAGUUUCUCCAGUUCAUUGAAAACCCCAGAAAGAAUCAGAAAUGAAAACAAAAAGAAAAAAGUUUCUUUCUCUAAAGAUGUGUCAUUUUCUUCAAAAAUUAACAAGACUCCAACUGAUUCCCCAGCUAGACCAAAUUUAGAUACUAGAUUGAAGAUUAUGUUUGGGACAGUAGAGGAAGAUGCUUCUAAAAAGCAUAAGAAGUCUUUGACUCAGUUACUAUCACCAAACACAGUUUCGGAGAAAGAACAGGAAGAGCUUGAGAGACCACUGUCUCCUACCCCAUCUCCUUACUUGUCUAGACAUAUGUACCUUUAUUGGCAUAAGGAAACCCUCAAGGCAAGAAAGGCAUCUAAGUUGUCCAGUGUUGAUUUUGUAAAUUCUAAUACUAGCACUCAAAAUACUGAGACUCCUCUAAAUGGACAAAUUUUAUUGUCGAUUUCCCCACUCAAGGGAAUGCCACCACUUCCGAAAAACCUUCCCACAGUUCCUCCUCCAAACUACAGGAGUUCUUUAACAGAACCUUUGUUGCUAAAAGAGGGUAGUUUGAAAGCAGAGCUUAUUUUGAAAAGUAUUAAUCGUAUGCAUCCCUAUAAAAUUAUUGAUUCUAAGGGCAAUAUUGUGAAAAGUUCACUGGACUCUGAGUUAGAAUUAACGAGUGAGGCUAUGCCUAUGGAGACAAGUGAGGAAAAAAUAUCAGAUAUGUUUGACCUUGAAAGUUCCAGUUGUCAUGAAAAUGUAACAGUUAAUCUUGUAAUGGAAAAAAUUAUUGAAGAGCUCAAACUGGUUAUUCGAGAAGAGCUAACAAAAGAAAUCUUAGAUAAAAAGUUUAAAUUGUGCCUUGACAAGGAUAAAAAAUGUUAGGAUAAAGAUAGUAUUCCCACAUUAGUACAAACCAUUACAGAAAAGAAUCUGCUCCACAAUAUUUUAUAAAUAGUUUAGCUACAAUGCCCUUUCCUACAUGCUGAUUCUUCUAUUUGAUAAUGAUCAUAAUAAUUUUAUGCAUUACACAGAGGCUUGAUGUAAAUAUGAAAAUGUAUUGUGUAAGUAUGUGAACCAAGUCAAAAUUUUGAAGUGUUGGAGUCUCUCUCCUUUAUAAUAUCUGCACCCUGUAAACUGGAAAUGGAUUCAGAUUUUUCACUAUACUUUCAGGUAAUAGUAUUACUUCUCAGUGGUAAGGUUGCUCUGUUAUUUGCUGGAAAUUUCUUCAACAUAAUUUUCAUCCCAUCAUCUCGACAACACUGUUGUUGCUUCACUAUGCUGUGGAAAACUGUUCUGAUGCUUCUAAUCUAUUCCCAGCAAGAUUCUGAGCUGCGAUCUGUUGCUGUUCCUGCUGAAGCUCUUGCAGCUCCUCAGUGGUUAGCUCUUCAUUGUGGUCCUCCACCAGCUCUUCCACAUCCUCCAAACUCACAUGCAACAUGAGGUGUCAUGAGAAUUCAUACCCAGGUCAAGCAAGUGGCAUCACCACAUCUCUUUCCCUUGACUAUAAUGGCACAUAAGUAUUGAAAGAAAAAAGUUGGCACCAAAAAUACCCAGGUUUGAGUGUAUAUGACAUUACAUUUAACCCUUAAGCGGUCCAAACGUAUAUAUAUAUUCUCUCGUGUAGGACCCCAAACGUAUAUGUACGUUUCAUUUGUCAUUCAUUCAACAUUGGCACGAUAGGCCUGAGUUGCCUAGACAUGAGAGAAUGGGUGUGCAUACUCAGUGUGUGCCAUAUGAAAAAAAUUGGAGAUUCCUGGGUACCACAUGCACUUUUUCCCUAUAAAAAAAAUUUUUUCUCAAAAUAUUCGGGGCACUGCGCAGGUGAACGUAUAUAUACGUUUGGACCGUUUAAGGGUUAACCAGUUUUUAACACCAGUUUAUUUGUAUUAAUUUAAAAAAAAGAGAACAUUUAUUGGUUUAUUUUAGGCAUUUGUGAAAAUAUUUUCCCAAGAUGUCUGACUAAAACAGUGGUUUUUCAAUAUUUUUCACUCCAUUACCUCCUUGAACAAUCCUCAGAAUCCCCUUGAACCCCCUUCAGGGUUUUCCCUCAAUGUACAUUUAUUUAAAUGUACACAUGCAUCUAUAUUAAACACAAACUGAUGAUAACACACCAGUUUAGCACUGAAAAAUGACAGAAUUAUAGUUAUAUGUAAAGAAAGGGGAUGCACAAUAAUAAUAAUUAACAAUGAUAUCUAUUAAUAGGAAAAUAAUGUAAAUGUACAGAUAUUUCACACACAAAGAAAUGAUUGUUGAGCAAAAUAGUUACACCGGUUUUGGAGUAUUUGUGCUUGAGUCAUGUGCAGUAUAUACCUCAGAGACACCAUGUUUCUCUGAUGAUAUCUCAUGGCACAUUGAGAUCAUUCUGUGUAAAUAUCAUUUAGAAAGUGAUGAGGAAUGCAAUUGUGUGGGACACGAGAAUUCAGCAACUCAGCCCAGUGUGCAGACGGAAACUGAACCCAUGUCACACAGGAACUGAAUCCAUGAAAUCUGAGCUUAUCACUUAAAAGCAACUAGCACCAUAGUACAUGAAUUUUAAAAUGGUAUUGGCAUUACAUCUCAAAAAUGACAAGAAAGAAGGGAAAUUCUUUCCUGCUAAAUCAAGAUGAAUAAUAAAAGUUUUAUUCAUUUUAGAUUUCCUUGACUUUCUGAAACAUUUAUAACUUAUUAUAGCCAGCCAUGUGAUACCCAUUCCCCUCCAGCCUAAGAAUCACUUGACUUAAACAACUCAUGAAAAUAGGAAGUAUUAGUAGGGAAAGGAAGAGCAGACUUGCAUGUAUGCUUCCCUUCAGACUGUACACACUAAUUGCCACCUGAAGUGGCAAGAUGGAUGGGCAUAGGACUGAGAGGUGAUAACAAUGGGCAAGUGAUCACAAUCAUAAAGAUAAUUUUCGAUUGUUAAGCCAAAGUCCAGAGCAUUGGGAAAUAGGCAAAUGGAGCCCUAAGUACUGAAAUGAGUAUAAAGUCAAAGCCCUCAUUCUUAAGACAUUUCAAGGCAAAUGGGUGGCAAAAUUCUCAAAGUUGCAAUGAGAUCAGCCCUAGAGGAAAUGAUUGCAACUGAAAUUCCAUAACAGCAGGAGUGGUUCAGGUAAUGAUGAGGCUUAAGAUCUGCAGAUCUCUUAAAACAAAGAGCAAUGAGGAGAGAGGUAUUAAGGAACAUUAUAUAGGCUGCCGUAUAGUGUAGUGACAUCUGAACAUAAAAUCUAUUAAGCAGAAUAUCGGUGUACACACAACGCAAACUUCCAUUGUGUGAGUCACUGGGAAACAAAAUUUAAGAGAGCAUAGAUAAAGACUGGAAGAUGAAUUGUAUGAUAAUGUUUAGUUUCUUAGAGACCAACAUUUACAGACAAUAUAAGGUUAAUCAGCAAAUAGAGUGCUCUUCAAUUAUCCCUGUAUUUUCUUUAUAUUCCUCUAUGUGAUUGAUGUGAAAAGUUUAAGUAAAUGUAAACAGAAGAAGCAUGGAAACUCAAGACAUCAGAAGGUGACAGCAAAGCACAGGAUGCAUCAAGACAUCCAGGUGAUGAAGAAGAAAAGAGAGAGAGAGAGAGAGAUGAAAGUACAGGAGGUGCAGAUAGUGACAAGGUAAGAAAGGGGGAAAAACAUUUGAGAAGGUAAGUGGAAAGAAGUAGUAGAAGUCCCAGUGUCUUUGAUGGUGUCUCACAAAUCAACAGCUGGGUAUUUAGAGGCAGGAAGAGAAGGCUUCCCAUGAAUUUAAGAGGGAGUUGAGAUAGUGGCUUCAAAACAAGAAGUUAUGUUAAGUGUCUCCACUUCUGAAAUCAAAGCCCAUAUACAAAUUAAAUUACAUAUUAAAAUUAGUAUUUAUUUCCAGAAAGUAUAGUACUGUACAUAGUUGUUGUAAGAAUUGGUGGCAUGUUUUGAGUGGAAAGCUCCUGGUUAUGAAGAGCAAUUCAGGUAGUCUUCAACUUGCUUAAUAUUACUAGACAGUGUGUAAUUGAAUAAAGAGUAUUUUAACAUUUUAUAUAACAUCUUUGUAUAACAUUUGUAAUAUUUAAUGCAGA
Molecule: non-coding RNA, 5275 nt
Organism: Cherax quadricarinatus
Lineage: Eukaryota; Metazoa; Arthropoda; Malacostraca; Decapoda; Parastacidae
Source: RefSeq, a predicted model, not a curated record